This 1048-nucleotide ribosomal RNA is filed under the name marine bacterium AK1_009. RNAcentral's name for it is "bacterial SSU rRNA". It matches the Rfam family "Bacterial small subunit ribosomal RNA", at positions 66 to 1125 of the family's 1533-position model. The record is from RNAcentral.
AUGAUCUCCCCGCUUGCGGGGGUGAUUAGUGGCGAACGGGUGAGUAAUACGUGAGUAACCUGCCCUUGACUCUGGGAUAAGCCUGGGAAACCGGGUCUAAUACUGGAUACUACUCCUUAUCGCAUGGUGGGGGGUGGAAAGGGUUUUACUGGUUUUGGAUGGGCUCACGGCCUAUCAGCUUGUUGGUGGGGUAAUGGCUCACCAAGGCGACGACGGGUAGCCGGCCUGAGAGGGUGACCGGCCACACUGGGACUGAGACACGGCCCAGACUCCUACGGGAGGCAGCAGUGGGGAAUAUUGCACAAUGGGCGGAAGCCUGAUGCAGCGACGCCGCGUGAGGGAUGACGGCCUUCGGGUUGUAAACCUCUUUCAGCAGGGAAGAAGCCACAAGUGACGGUACCUGCAGAAGAAGCGCCGGCUAACUACGUGCCAGCAGCCGCGGUAAUACGUAGGGCGCAAGCGUUGUCCGGAAUUAUUGGGCGUAAAGAGCUCGUAGGCGGUCUGUCGCGUCUGCUGUGAAAGCCCGGGGCUCAACCCCGGGUCUGCAGUGGGUACGGGCAGACUAGAGUGCAGUAGGGGAGACUGGAAUUCCUGGUGUAGCGGUGAAAUGCGCAGAUAUCAGGAGGAACACCGAUGGCGAAGGCAGGUCUCUGGGCUGUUACUGACGCUGAGGAGCGAAAGCAUGGGGAGCGAACAGGAUUAGAUACCCUGGUAGUCCAUGCCGUAAACGUUGGGCACUAGGUGUGGGGGACAUUCCACGUUCUCCGCGCCGUAGCUAACGCAUUAAGUGCCCCGCCUGGGGAGUACGGCCGCAAGGCUAAAACUCAAAGGAAUUGACGGGGGCCCGCACAAGCGGCGGAGCAUGCGGAUUAAUUCGAUGCAACGCGAAGAACCUUACCAAGGCUUGACAUUCACCGGACCGCACUGGAGACAGUGCUUCCCUUCGGGGUCGGUGGACAGGUGGUGCAUGGUUGUCGUCAGCUCGUGUCGUGAGAUGUUGGGUUAAGUCCCGCAACGAGCGCAACCCUCGUUCUAUGUUGCCAGCACG